UGUGGCAAGUCAGUUAGGACAUCUACUUUGUGCAUGACACAAGUAAUGUUUCCAACAAUUGUUUACAGACAGAUUAUUUCACUUCUAAUUCACUGUAUCACAAUUCCAGUGGGUCAGAAGUGUACAUAAGUUGACUGUGCCUUCAAAUAGCUUGGAAAAUUCCAGAAAAUUAUGUCAUGGCUUUAGAAGAUUCUGAUAGGCUAACUGACAUCAUUUGAGUCAAUUGGAGGUUUAGCUGUGGAUGUAUUUCAAGACCUACCUUCAAACUCAGUGCCUCUUUGCUUGACAUCAUUGGAAAAUGUAAAGAAAUCAGCCAAGACCUCAGAAAACAAAUUGUAGACCUCCACAAGUCUGGUUCAACCUCGGGAGCAAUUUCCAAAUGCCUGAAGGUACCACAUUCAUCUGUACAAACAAUAGCACGCAAGUAUAAACACCAUGGGACCACACAGCCAUCAUUAUCACUCAGGAAGGAGACGCAUUCUGUUUCCUAGAGAUGAACAUAUUUUGGUGUGAAAAGUGCAAAUCAAUCCCAGAACAAGAGCAAAGGACCUUGUGAAGAUGCUGCAACUGCACAUGGGGACAAAGAUCAUACUUUUUGGAGAAAUGUCCUCUGGUCUGAUGAAACAAGAAUAGACCUGUUAGGCCAUAAUGACCAUCGUUAUGUUUUGGAGGAAAAAGGGGAGGCUUGCAAGCCAAAGAACACCAUCCCAACCGUGAAGCACGGGGGUGGCAGCAUCAUGUUGUGGGGGUGCUUUGCUGCAGGAGGGACUGGUGCACUUCACAAAAUAGAUGGCAUCAUGAGAAGGAAAAUUAUGUAGAUAUAUUUAAGCAACAUCUCAUGACACCAGCCAGGAAGUUAAAGCUUGGUCACAAAUGGGUCUUCCAACUGGACAAUGACGCCAAGCUUACUUACAAAGUUGUGGCAAAAUGGCUUAAGGACAACAAAGUCAAGGUAUUGGAGUGACAAUCACAAAGCCCAAUCCUAUAGAAAAUGUGUGGGCAGAACAGAAAAAGCAUGUGCGAGCAAGGAAGUCUACUAACCUGACUCAGUUUCACCAACUCUGCCAGGAGGAAUGGGCCAAAAUUCACCCAACUUAUUGUGGGAAGCUUGUUGAAGGCUACCUGAAACGUUUGACCUAAAUAAAACAAUUUAAAGGCAAUGCUACCAAAUACUAAUGGAGUGUAUUUAAAUUUCUGACCGACUGGGAAUGUGAUGAAAGAAACAAAAGAUUAAAUAAAUCAUUAUCUUUACUAUUAUUCUGACAUUUCACAUUCUUAAAAUAAAGUGUUGAUCCUAACUGACCAAAGACAGGGAUUUUUUACUCUGAUUAAAUGUCAGGAAUUGUGAAAAACUGAGUUUAAAUGUACAUGGCUAAGGUGUACGUAAACUUCCGACUUCAACUGUAUGUAUAUAUAUAUAUAUUUUAAUUCUCAGGACAUUAACCAUGUGCGUUCGCUUAUUUUUUACUGUUCUAUAGUGUCGACCCAACGAUUUGUCUGGCAAACAAAGAACUGUGUGUCCUGCAGGCCCAGGCAUGGAUCAAAGCUGGCGAGACAUUCGAUGAUGUCGUCUUCACUGACGAAUCAACCAUGGCCCUUGUUCAAUUUGCUCAAAAUCAAGCAAGCCGAGUCCCAAGCAUUCGCUCAAACUACAUGUGUGGAUGUAUGGGGGGAAAAUUCUCGCCAGGGACCAGGCCCAUAUUUGAUUUUUCAUGGUCCGUAUGGCUAUUUUACAAAGCUAAAAGAACAUAAAAUAUUGUAGCCUACACCUCAAAGACUGUUAUGUGUGCAACAAUAAUUCACUCUUGCCUCCUUUUCAGGUAUCAUGGCUCGAGAUUUCUUUGAUAUGCUGGACCGUAUGUCAGAGAGGUGUUUCUGGGACCACAUUGUUUCUUUCAACGUAGGAUUAUAGCAAUAUUUUGAUAAGUUUAGGCCUAUUUACAUUAAUAUUUAUAUUAUUGUAAUAAUGGUUUUUGUCCUCCUCUUCUGAGGAGGAGUAGUGAGAAGGAUCGGAGGACCAAUGAGCAGCGUGACAAUGACCCAAAACACACUCCCGCCCAGGUUUGCAUUGCAAAUGAGGGCAUAAACUGGGUGAAGACGCCAGCAGAGUAAAUAGACCUUUAUGUAGUACAAUAAAGGUUAAAUAAAAAUUAAGUAAAAAACAAAUGACCUACAACACCUUCGGUAGGCCUACAGUAUAUCUAAAAACUUGUUUUCAUCUCUACAUGUAGGUCUCCUAAUUUAAACACGAUCUAACUUGUUUGGCAUCAACAGAAAACAUUAAUCCGUAACUCUCCCAAGUUGACAAGCAAAGAUGACCUGGACGAGGCCAUCAAGAUGUUUUUGUGAGAGAAAUUGACGAUACAACAAUGCAUCAAAUACAUUGAUCAUCUCAGCAAGGUUUUUCCUAUGGUCGUGGAGCUGGGUGGAAGUGUGACUAAAAUGUAGUUUAAAUAAACAUCCGCAUUUGAAUGUCUUUUUUCUCAUUAUUUUAUUAACAAAAGCAUAAAGAUGUUGAUGAGGAAAUACUGUACUACUGUUUUGUGUUAGAAAUGUAACACUUUAGAGUACUUAAGCAUUGAAUACAUAAGUUGAGGGAUUUUCACAACAGUAGCCGGGCUAUAAAAAGCCUAUUGUCCUGCUAAUAGGAAACAUUUGCAUGAUGGGCAACACCUGCUACAGUACUACAGUAAACCUGUUUUCAAAAUGCCUCCAGUUGCCCAUCACAACUGUAAAUAAAAACACAGCAUCUUGUUUACAUCUUGUUUACAUUAUUUGUUGUAACCACAAUGUCGCAAAUAAUUUGUAUCUACCUUUCCAAUUACUAUUCGAGUUCGGGAUUUACAAAUGUGCGCUUUUCAUUAUUAGUUACAUUGUUUUAGUUUGAACAUGCAUUUUUCUAUGAAUGAUUGUUUUAUGCAGGAUGCUACAUUUUUGACCAGGCUGUUAAGCCUCAUAGUCUACCUCAGCCAGUUAAGUUAUUUAAUAUAGGUCUAGGCUCUGAAGAAAUAGACUCCAAUUAAGCCCUCUUGUUGUUUUAAAGUCCAAU
Molecule: long non-coding RNA, 3049 nt
Organism: Oncorhynchus tshawytscha (Chinook salmon)
Lineage: Eukaryota; Metazoa; Chordata; Actinopteri; Salmoniformes; Salmonidae
Source: Ensembl